Molecule: unclassified non-coding RNA, 320 nt
Filed under: plant metagenome
Description: partial contains 5.8S ribosomal RNA, internal transcribed spacer 2, and large subunit ribosomal RNA
Rfam family: 5.8S ribosomal RNA (bases 1-105)
Source: RNAcentral
GAAAUGCGAUACGUAAUGUGAAUUGCAGAAUUCAGUGAAUCAUCGAAUCUUUGAACGCACAUUGCGCCCGCCAGUAUUCUGGCGGGCAUGCCUGUUCGAGCGUCAUUACAACCCUCAGGCCCCCGGGCCUGGCGUUGGGGAUCGGCGGAAGCCCCCUGCGGGCACAACGCCGUCCCCCAAAUACAGUGGCGGUCCCGCCGCAGCUUCCAUUGCGUAGUAGCUAACACCUCGCAACUGGAGAGCGGCGCGGCCACGCCGUAAAACACCCAACUUCUGAAUGUUGACCUCGAAUCAGGUAGGAAUACCCGCUGAACUUAAGC